Molecule: ribosomal RNA, 253 nt
Filed under: uncultured bacterium
Lineage: Bacteria
Description: partial 16S ribosomal RNA
Rfam family: Bacterial small subunit ribosomal RNA
Source: RNAcentral
UACGUAGGGGCCGAGCGUUGUCCGGAAUUACUGGGCGUAAAGCGUGCGCAGGCGGCUUUGCAAGACAGAUGUGAAAUCCCCGGGCUUAACCUGGGAACUGCAUUUGUGACUGCAUGGCUGGAGUGCGGCAGAGGGGGAUGGAAUUCCGCGUGUAGCAGUGAAAUGCGUAGAUAUGCGGAGGAACACCGAUGGCGAAGGCAAUCCCCUGGGCCUGCACUGACGCUCAUGCACGAAAGCGUGGGGAGCAAACAGG